GUAKAGAUGGCUGAGUGGUUGAUAGCCCCGGAUAUUGUCAACUGGUAUAAUUUCU
This 55-nucleotide transfer RNA is filed under the name Sansonia bradei. RNAcentral describes it as "partial tRNA-Ser". Lineage: Eukaryota; Viridiplantae; Streptophyta; Magnoliopsida; Asparagales; Orchidaceae. The record is from RNAcentral.